Molecule: ribosomal RNA, 425 nt
Filed under: uncultured bacterium
Lineage: Bacteria
Description: partial 16S ribosomal RNA
Rfam family: Bacterial small subunit ribosomal RNA
Source: RNAcentral
GUGGGGAAUCUUGCGCAAUGGGCGAAAGCCUGACGCAGCCAUGCCGCGUGAAUGAUGAAGGUCUUAGGAUUGUAAAAUUCUUUCACCGGGGACGAUAAUGACGGUACCCGGAGAAGAAGCCCCGGCUAACUUCGUGCCAGCAGCCGCGGUAAUACGAAGGGGGCUAGCGUUGCUCGGAAUUACUGGGCGUAAAGGGCGCGUAGGCGGACAGUUUAGUCAGAGGUGAAAGCCCAGGGAUCAACCUUGGAAUUGCCUUUGAUACUGGCUGUCUUGAGUACGGGAGAGGUGAGUGGAACUCCGAGUGUAGAGGUGAAAUUCGUAGAUAUUCGGAAGAACACCAGUGGCGAAGGCGACUCACUGGCCCGUUACUGACGCUGAGGCGCGAAAGCGUGGGGAGCAAACAGGAUUAGAAACCCUAGUAGUCC